GAAUGGGUUUCCAGAGACCAAGCUUUUGUAGAAGAAAUUGGAAGCUCGGACUGGAAGUCGCUCGAGUCAGUUAAGAAGACACAAGUAGCACCUAUCAUCGAUGAAACUGAUGACUUGGGCUCAGAUUUCAAUGAUGCUGAGAUAUUCAAGGUAGAAAAAGAAGUGAGAGAUGAAGUUUAUUACACAAACACAUCAGAGAAGCUAUUUACGUGACAUCAAAUGAUUAACUAUGGUUGGUUUAAAGCUUCUUUCACAGCUUUUCUCAACUCUUAGGAAGCUGUUUGUAGUCAUAGCUUGUGAUUUAUAAUUCUUAGACUAUUUCCCUUUUAAAAGACGUUUGUAGUUCUUUCUUCUUCUUACUCCAUCAUCAUUCAGUGUCCUAUUAGGUUUCUCGAGUUUGGGUGUUACUGUCAGUUUAUGUUAGAUUUUAAAUUCGUUUGACAAAUACAGUGUCAGUGUUCUUGCUUAUAAUCUAAAAUGCCUAAUUUCUCUCAUA
Molecule: long non-coding RNA, 496 nt
Organism: Eutrema salsugineum
Lineage: Eukaryota; Viridiplantae; Streptophyta; Magnoliopsida; Brassicales; Brassicaceae
Exons: 2
Source: RefSeq, a predicted model, not a curated record